GAUGAACGCUAGCGGCAGGCUUAACACAUGCAAGUCGAGGGGCAGCGCAGGUAGCAAUACUGGGCGGCGACCGGCAAACGGGUGCGGAACACGUACUGAAUCUACCUUUAUCUGGGGCAUAGCCCGAAGAAAUUCGGAUUAACUCCCCAUAAUAUAGAUGAGUGGCAUCACUUGACUAUUAAAAUUCAUUGGAUAGAGAUGACAGUGCGUCCCAUUAGCUAGUUGGUAGGGUAACGGCCUACCAAGGCGACGAUGGGUAGCUGGUGUGAGAGCACGACCAGCCACACGGGCACUGAGACACGGGCCCGACUCCUACGGGAGGCAGCAGCGAGAUAUGGUCAAUGGACGCAAGUCUGAACCAGCCCAUGCCGCGUGAAGGAUGAAGGCCUUCUGGUUGUAAACUUCUUUUACCU
This 413-nucleotide ribosomal RNA is filed under the name uncultured bacterium. RNAcentral describes it as "bacterial SSU rRNA". It matches the Rfam family "Bacterial small subunit ribosomal RNA", at positions 28 to 441 of the family's 1533-position model. The record is from RNAcentral.